RNAcentral lists this ribosomal RNA (386 nucleotides) under uncultured bacterium. RNAcentral describes it as "bacterial SSU rRNA". It matches the Rfam family "Bacterial small subunit ribosomal RNA", at positions 8 to 394 of the family's 1533-position model. The record is from RNAcentral.
AGAGUUUGAUCCUGGUUCUGGAUGUUUGCUGGCGGCGCGCUUAAUGCAUGCAAGUCGAGCGAUGAGGCCCCUUCGGGGGUACAUCAGCGGCAGACGGGUGAGUAACACGUAGGCAACCUGCCCUUCAGACGGGGAUAACAGUUGGAAACGGCUGCUAAUACCCGAUAGGUACCCGGGGUUAUCGAGAUUCGGGGUAUAAAGUUACGGCGCUGAAGGAGGGGCCUGCGGUCCAUCAGUUAGUUGGUGAGGUAACGGCUCACCAAGACGAAGACGGGUAGGGGGUGUGAGAGCAUGGCCCCCCACAAUGGGACUGAGAUACGGCCCAUACUCCUACGGGAGGCAGCAGCAGGGAAUCUUGCACAAUGGACGGAAGUCUGAUGCAGCGA